AACUUUUAGUGGCGUCCUUUUUCCCUGUGGGAAGAAAUAGGAUCAAUUUCGCCGGUGUUGAGCCCUAGUAGCCUGGAAGAAAUUUAGGUCCGGCGAUGGAGCAACUGAGUGAAGAAGAGAAAAAGGCGCUUCGUGGAAGCAAAUUCGCACCGCUUCCUUCUGCACUAUCUUCUUCUCGUUCUCAACCUAGGCUGGCUCAUCCAGGAGGAUCAAUGAAGACGAAUAAGGCAGCAGCUUUAGCAAAAUUCCUUGACAGGAAAUUACAGGACCCAAGCGGCUUGUCCUCUCUUGAUCCCCGUCUCAUUGAACUCGCCGUCAAAAAUGCUAAACACACUCUUCAAUCCAGUGGGGCAUCAAGUAGAGGAAGAAUUGUUCAGCAUGUGGAUUCUUUCGGUGAUUCUGAGGAAUCUGCUGAAGAUGAAGAGAUAAAAAUAUCCGUCCAAAAAAAGAGUAAGAAAAACAAAAAGAGGAAGAAGUUGAAGAAGGAGAAACAGCACAAGAAAUUGGAGGAGUCUUCAAGUGGAACGGCCAAAAAACCUAAAAAGAAGCUGAAACUAUGAUCUACGCUUAUUUAUCUCUUCGAGGGGACUGCAUCUGUGGUUGGGCUGAUUGUCACGAUGACUAAUCGUUACUGCAACUUGGCUGGAGGAGUAGAAUAGCAGAUGAUAUACUAGAAUGCUAGCUUUUUGUCAUCUAAUGUAGCAAGUGACAGUGUACAAGGAGCAUGCUGGAACGUCUCAAAGAUGUGCUCGGGGGAAAUUUUCAGCUGAAUAUUUUUAAAACAUUUGAGAUGACAUCCCCAUUAGCAGCAAGUCAUUGGUAUUUGAAUGAGUUGAAGAAGAAGCGUUUGGGAGAUUCUAGCCAGGGUAUCCAGCGCGGUAGUUGAGUUCUAGUGGAUAUACCAGCAUUGGACCAGUGGUGAGAUCUUGGGAUCCGGAUCGUCGCUAGUCCAUCUUUCAUUUUCAGUCCUUACAAUAUUCAGAGACUUAUGUUGUGUAUU
Molecule: RNA transcript, 1000 nt
Organism: Solanum dulcamara
Lineage: Eukaryota; Viridiplantae; Streptophyta; Magnoliopsida; Solanales; Solanaceae
Exons: 9
Source: RefSeq, a predicted model, not a curated record